UUUUGAAGUGAUAGUCAGGGUGGUCCAUUUCCAACAGUUGAGAAGGAGGUGUGAGUAACAGUACGGGAAAAAUUAGCACGGGGAAAUAGUUUCUACGUUGUGAAACGAU
Chelonoidis abingdonii (Abingdon island giant tortoise) is the source of this 109-nucleotide non-coding RNA. Lineage: Eukaryota; Metazoa; Chordata; Testudines; Testudinidae. The record is from RefSeq and is a predicted model, not a curated record.